UUCCUACGGGGCGCAGCAGUGGGGAAUAUUGGGCAAUGGGCGCAAGCCUGACCCAGCAACGCCGCGUGAAGGAAGAAGGCUUUCGGGUUGUAAACUUCUUUUAAGAGGGAAGAGAAGAAGACGGUACCUCUUGAAUAAGCCACGGCUAACUACGUGCCAGCAGCCGCGGUAAUACGUAGGUGGCAAGCGUUGUCCGGAUUUACUGGGUGUAAAGGGCGUGCAGCCGGGCUGACAAGUAAGAUGUGAAAUCCCGCGGCUCAAACGAGGAACUGGAUUUGAAACUGUCGGUCUUGAGGACCGGAUAG
This 305-nucleotide ribosomal RNA is filed under the name uncultured bacterium. Its description in RNAcentral is "bacterial SSU rRNA". It matches the Rfam family "Bacterial small subunit ribosomal RNA", at positions 336 to 656 of the family's 1533-position model. The record is from RNAcentral.